Non-coding RNA from Vicugna pacos (alpaca), 3304 nucleotides. NCBI's taxonomy places the organism in Eukaryota, Metazoa, Chordata, Mammalia, Artiodactyla, Camelidae. The record is from RefSeq and is a predicted model, not a curated record.
UAGAAUUUUAUUUAAAUGAUAAACGAUUGACCAAAAUGUCAGGAUCACGGAGUUAGAAUUUGGGUAAACGUGGGAUGUUUCAGAAAACUUCCAACCACAGACAUAAAAGGAUAAUUACGUGAAGCACAUCUGAACCCAGGGAAAGCAAAAGGCAUUCUGUUACCUCCCAUACCUCGCCUCUUGCCGAUGCAAUGGUCUCACGCUGGGUUAUUAAACAGUAUUGACCAAGCUCUUACCCUGGAAUCCUUCAGCCCGCAAGGAGGUUUUGAAAUAGCCCGGGAAGACAGCUGUCUGGUGACAAACAAGCUGUCCGGGGCGGGUGUGGGGAAGCGCGGAGGGGCACCAGGGACCCGUCCCCUCCGGAAGGGUCUGCUGGGCCUCACCGACCAGAUGCAUCGCAGCUGUCCUUAGGGCUUGUGUGGAAUUCACCUGGAACGGAUAUUGUAAGUAAAUCUGAGGGCUUAUCACCUUUAAUAAUGAGCUCUAACUGUAUUUAACUGCCUUGGCAGAACCGUUGAGUAAGUGGGUGCUACCCUUGUUGCAGAUACUGUAAUUUCUAGAUUGUUUACCGGGCUCAUUUUGUAAUCAACCUCUAAAUUUGCAGAAACUGGUCAGGUGUAAACUAAAUACAUAAUCAUAUCCAACUGAACGAACUUGGGACUUUGGACCACAUUCUAAAUAUCUCCUUCGGGUAUGCGUCCGAGUCUCCACCCUUCCCUGAUUUAGUCAGCCAAUAACAGGGACCAUUCCUGACCUUCUCUACGGCGCUCUGCUCUUGAAACGUACUUUUUUUUUUUUUAAACAAAGGCCACACCAAAGACAAAGACCAGUCCUUCUCCACGAUUAGAGGGACUCCGUCUUGAUCACCGCUGGAAGCCUGCCGGGCACACGGGGAACUCAGCAAGUGAACACUGAGUGAGCAAGACCGACGGCAAGCUGCCUUCCAGCAGGAACUGGGUCAUCCGCAAGCAGAUUAGCUCAGAACAAUCCCACUGGCGGCAGAGUUUAGGGGAUCAGAGGACAAGAGACCCCGAGUCUCGGACUGUCUUCCAGGCAAGAGCAUGACUCACUCGGCUGGUGACAUGGAACCACCUUCUGAUCCGCCCGUGGCCGGCCUCCCAAGGUGAUGCCAGGAAGCACCACCCAGAACCUUCAAGGAGAGAGAGCAGGCUCCCGCCAAGGCAUUCCAGCCCGUUUCAGAGGAGGCGAGACCACGGCAGUAGCCUCCCAGCCUGUCCGUCUCCAUCCUGGCAAUCUUUGGUCUGACUCCCAACACAGCCACGAGAUGGCCCCUUUAAAAGGUAAGUCAGAUCAGCUCCUCUUGCUCAAACCCUCCGAGGCUUCCCGUGGAAACAGAGUGAAGGGUUGUGAGUUGACGGUGGCCUUCGAGGCCCUCCAUGCUCUGGUCUCCCGUCACCUCCUAACCCCACCACCGCCUGGCCUGCUCCCCAGCACUCACUCCCCGCGGCCAGACUCCUCCUCGGAGCCCGCAGGCGCUCGUCCACCCAGCGGCUCUGCACGUCCGGUUCCCUCCGCCUGGCCUCCCUCCACGGCCUGAGUGCUGUGUCCCCACCGAGACUGGAUAGUCAGCAAACAUUUGAUGAAUGAAUGAAUGAAUGAAUUGAGUGAGUGAAUAUUUAGAUUCAGUGGUGGUUGAAGGUCUCAUUUUAAGAGUAAGGAUUCCAACCACUAAGUCUUCUGAGAAGCAGCAGGCGUUCGCCACAAUUCCCUCGACGGAGGGCAAGUGCUUGUAGCACGAGACAAAUCUGCAAGGAGAGGCGACUGGGCCUGGCAUGCAGCGUGGGAUGCAGGCAGCUGAGGGGCUGGGCGCGGACUGCUGGGCGAUUUUGUCCCCAGUCGUCCCCUAGUUUUACGUGGGCGCAUGACCACCCACGCGGUCGCUCUCCCUGCAGCUCCACGUGGCCAAAGGCUAAAUUCCGAUCAAUGAACGUGAGCAGAAGGCACAGGCAAUUUCCAGAAUGCCAGAGGCUGGGGCCACCGGGUUGUCCAGGUGUGUGUCCAGGAUGGCAGAGCCGCCCGCGGACCGCCUCUCUGGACUGCAUGGGGAGAGAAAUAAGCUUUGUUCUCAUCUCUCGUUUGAACCAGUCUGCCCUGUGGUCCUUGUUCUCACACUUAAACCUACAGCCUGACCAAGUCUAGCCAUACCGAGCUGGGGACAGUCUUUUGAUGCUGGCGGUUGAUAAAGAAGGGGGGUCACCAAGGGGGAAGUCAUCGGGUAGGAAAGUGGACAUGGUCCCCGAGUGUGCCGAGCGCUGUUUUUACCAAGCACACGUGUUUUCGGAACAACCGAGAGACUGUGGUCUUUAUGUCGGCAGAAGAUAAAAAGAGGCAAUAAACUGAAAUCUGGGGGAAGACAGCCUCACAGGAGUUUCAGCACAAGAUUUCCCUCUCCUAAUUUUCUUGACUCGCCUCAGGUUUUGCAUGAGAAAGACCCUCAGCACGGAGAACAAGGGGACUGAAAGCCGGGACCAGUGUAUUUGUAAGUUUUUCCCUUCGCCCCACAGCCCACGUGAUUCACUGCAAUGCUUGUCCGUUUCCAAAUUUUUUCAGUCUGAAAAUUGAAAAUCCUAUGUAUCUUAUUUCCUGGUCUGGCCAUCAUAAUCUAGAAGAUUAUCUUCCCUGUUCUCAAAAAAGCAUUGCUUUGAAACGGUCCCCUCCGAGAGCUGACUUACACGUGAAGACGCGCUCUCACACCUCCCUGGCUGGGCAGAGCAUUUCCAUACAGAAGUGAUCUUGCCCUACAGCAGCGCAGGGGCGCGGCGGGGGCUUGAAAAUCACGGAAUCAAAGGAAAAUGAUCCAAUAUUUCAAACAAAAUCGUGUCUCGCCUAUUUCUGCUCCAUUACAAGAGGGUAAGUUAGAUCCAGUCUUCCCAAGGCCGCUGCCUCAGAUGUGGAACUCUGUAAGUGCCCGAAUGUCUUCUAUUUUAUUAUAUACACAAAGGAGCUCUUUAACGCAGCUACUGUCUGUGGCACGGAAGUCAUAUCUCGAUUUUCCUUUUCAACUAAAACCGCUCUAAACUGGAACGCUAUCCCACUGCUGAAGAGUUUAUCUCACCAGUAUUCCCCACAGAUGAAUAGGCAAUACACGUUAUCUUUUUCUUUUUUUCUUAAAGAAACUAUUCAUUGACUACAUUACCGAAAUAGUCCACUUGUCUCAUGUUAGUUGCAUAUUUUUCUGUUUUUUAAUAUCUGCAAAAUACUUUUUCAAUCGAAACAAAGCUGCAGAGUAAGUGUUUUCUCUAAAAUUGAAAAGCAAGCUCUUUGUAAUUAUACGUCGCCUUUU